CUUCAUCUAAUUUAGCUCUAGGUUUUUUUCGGGUUGUUAUGCGAAUUAAGCGUCAUUUUACAUUAAUGCAAGCUAUUGUCGCUACCAUCCUCGGAACAGGAGCAGGUCUAUACGUCUGGCCCCCGGUGUUAAGUAAACAUUUUGAAAAACUACCCAGAGCAGGAAAGGGUGUGGCUCCUGAUUCAUCUGAGACUGCUGGUCCAAAAAAUCCUUCAGAAGCAACUACUUAAUGAGAGAGCAAUUCAAAAUCAAAGAACGUGAACUCUCAACCAGCUGCCUCAGUUGCAUUUCAACAGGGAUGUCUAAGCCAUCAAAGAAUUCACCCUCAUCAGUAUCUCAGUGGGCGGCGAAAUCCCCACUGUCACCGGCUCUUGCAGUUUCAAUUGCAUUAGGAAUUGGAGUCCUUGCUUGGAUGUUUGCGUUAAAGCCACUCGCAGAGAAUUCAAGAAUGUACAGAAACGAGCAAGAAGCUGAGAUAUUACUCCUGGCCUCUCAAAAACCAAAGCCUGAAAUUGUGGAUCAUUUUCGUUCCUAAAAACACGAAAUUUAUGGGUUUUUUUUUUCUUUCUAUCUAGUAAAUUUAUAGAGUACCUAGUUAUGAUAUUUUGUUUUGAGUUUUUAUUGUCUUUUGUGCCUAAACAAAGAGCACGUAGAGCUUGAAUUUUUUUAAUCGUUUACGUGACAAGAGACUUUCAUCUUUGCAAUGGAUUUAUUCUGGCACAUGCACGAGGCAAAAGAAAUAAACAAAUGAGAAAUACAAGCACGCCAAUGUUUUCCCUCUCGUCAGUAAGACUUCAUUCUCUAAAUUAAAAUUUUAUCAAGAAACCAAAACCAACUAUCUAAUUGAUGGCUAAAGAGCAGAACUACGUAUCUCCGUUUGCAACAUUGCAGCCUUCCUUUUCACCAUAACUGGGUGAGGGAAGACCAGAGCAAUGAGAUUCACGAUACAUACUUUAUUAGACACUAGCUGGCCCCCCGCGCUCCGCACGGGCAAUAGGUACUCACUUUCUCAAAUACUAAAUUCAGUUCGUUUGUAAAAUUUUUAUUAAUAGGUAUCAAUGAAAAUCGUUUCAUGGAAAUCGACUAAAAGAAUUUAGAUGCUGCUUUAUUUUAUUUAUGCUACAGAUUUUUACAAGUUUUCAAUUUUCUCAACAAUAGAAGUUUCCAUCAAUUCUAAUGAUUUCGUUUCGUUGUAAUCUUUAUAUUUCUUGCAUUAAGAAUUUUAUACAAUUUUUCUCCCUGUACUUCCGGCAUAUUCGAAUUCCAUGCAGUAUUUUAUGCCAAAAAAAUUCAGAAAAAUUGACACAAAUAUUUGUAACAGUUAAAUGAAACAGGGUUGAACCAAAUAAAUUAAUAGAAAUAAAAAAAAAAAAAAAAAAAAAAUAAAAAAAAAACUCCAAGAGGAAUGAAAAGAACGUUUUAGUAUAUGAAAGAAAGGUUAUAAAAAAUAUGAGAACGGCAACACUAAAAACAGCUGACAAAAAAUUUCAGCGUAGAAAUUUUGUUGUUAUUUUUUUUUCAUGUUUUCAAACAGACAUUUCGUCUUAAGCCGGCUGCACACACAGCAAGUGGGGACCUGCAAGUGGCACAUCGGUGCCGCUUUGUUGAGCGUUGAUCGUGCAAACUGCGCGGCCCGCGCAGUUUGCAC
Molecule: long non-coding RNA, 1648 nt
Filed under: Bemisia tabaci
Lineage: Eukaryota; Metazoa; Arthropoda; Insecta; Hemiptera; Aleyrodidae
Description: lncRNA ENSASIAIIG007240
Source: RNAcentral